GCGUGUGUGAAGAAGGCCUUCGGGUUGUAAAGCACUUUUGUCAGGAACGAAAAUGUCCGUGCUAAUACCAUGGGCUCAUGACGGUACCUGAAGAAUAAGCACCGGCUAACUACGUGCCAGCAGCCGCGGUAAGACGUAGGGUGCAAGCGUUAAUCGGAAUUACUGGGCGUAAAGCGUGCGCAGGCGGCUUUGUAAGACAGAUGUGAAAUCCCCGGGCUUAACCUGGGAACUGCAUUUGUGACUGCAAGGCUAGAGUGCGUCAGAGGGAGGUGGAAUUCCGCGUGUAGCAGUGAAAUGCGU
This 300-nucleotide ribosomal RNA is filed under the name uncultured bacterium. RNAcentral's name for it is "bacterial SSU rRNA". It matches the Rfam family "Bacterial small subunit ribosomal RNA", at positions 399 to 691 of the family's 1533-position model. The record is from RNAcentral.